Long non-coding RNA from Sander lucioperca (pikeperch), 869 nucleotides. RefSeq lists it as uncharacterized. The transcript is spliced from 5 exons. Lineage: Eukaryota; Metazoa; Chordata; Actinopteri; Perciformes; Percidae. The record is from RefSeq and is a predicted model, not a curated record.
UUAAAAAAAUCAAAGAAGAAGUCACACUGCAACUUCACCUGGAAAAGUAUCCUGCCGAUGAAAGGGCCUGCUGACACGGGGAGAGAGAUAGACUCCCAACCAAACCCGAAAACAGACUCUGGACAUUCAAAUGUAAACCAAGCCAGCCAGUCGAGGGGUGCUGGGCCCAGUCACCAGUCCGGCCACAGUGAUGGAUCCCAGCACAGCAACCAGUACCGACACAGAAAGCGGUCCAGGCACAGUGACAGGUCCCAGCAAAGCAAACUGUACCGACACAAGAAGCAGUCCAGGCACAGCGACCAGAUGGGACACGACAAGCAGUCCAGGCACAGCGAUUUGUCUAAAGACGAGUUUCAGAAAAAAGUUUUAACUAAAUUGGUGGAUAUCCACAUGGAGGUCAGAAGGCUGGGGAAAAAGCGAGCCUCCCCUGUCAUCCGCCCAUAUAGAGCUACUGGAGACGAUGGAGUUUGAGAGAGAGGAGGAACGCCUCAAGGACAAGCAAGCCUUUGAGUCCUUGGCUCUUUACCAACCGGCUAAUGGCAAAAUUCAAUAUGAAGGGAAAGAAGCAGAAACUGCCUCCUGGAGAAGACUACGACUUUUGAAGCAAUUCAAGCUGCAGUCAUGAAAUGGGAUAAAUAAGCUACAGAGGCUACGGUCAAGCAUCAUGCAGCAGGACAUCUCAAACAUGCACCAAGGAAGAAGGGAGGUGGAGGGUAUACAGGGGUGGAAAGUAACUAGGAAUUUUGCACGAGUACUAUAAAGGCUAUUUUAUGGUUCUGUGGAGGCUCCAUGCAGAACUUUCUCCGUAGCCUACGUAAGUGGCCUGAUAUUUAUACUUGUGCGCUGGUGUGUGCGUUGAGCCGGCGUGU